RNAcentral lists this long non-coding RNA (450 nucleotides) under Rattus norvegicus (Norway rat). RNAcentral describes it as "long non-coding RNA NONRATT016504". Lineage: Eukaryota; Metazoa; Chordata; Mammalia; Rodentia; Muridae. The record is from RNAcentral.
CUCAGGCAGAAGAACUGGGGUAGAAGACAACAGUGCACAACUCGUGCAGUCUGUGGAAGGAAUGCUCUCUGUACUCCUCCUCUGCUUCCAUAAGACUGAAGAAAUCGAUUGUUCUUGGGAUUAAUCUAGUUAGAUCAAGGUGCUCACAUCUGCUCCAGUGUAGCCUUAUUUCAUUGACAGUUGCCACUCUAUCAGACAUGCUCUGUCCCAUGGGGAGAGCAUGAGUGCUUUUAUCAUCUCAAGAGGAAAGAUGAAGGACAAGGCCUCAUCCCUUCAAACAGGAAGUGGAGCAGAGAGACUAGGCUUUGCUCCUGUUUUUAGUCAUCUUGUGGCCUUGAGGAAAGAGUCUAUGCUUUUAGGGGUUGGGGAUUUAGCUCAGAGGAAGAGCGCUUGCCUAGCAAGCGCAAGGCCCUGGGUUCGGUCCCCAGCUCCAAAAAAAAAAAAAAAAAA